CCUACGGGAGGCAGCAGUGGGGAAUAUUGGACAAUGGGCGAAAGCCUGAUCCAGCAAUGCCGCGUGAGUGAUGAAGGCCUUCGGGUCGUAAAGCUCUUUUACCAGGGAUGAUAAUGACAGUACCUGGAGAAUAAGCUCCGGCUAACUCCGUGCCAGCAGCCGCGGUAAUACGGAGGGAGCUAGCGUUGUUCGGAAUUACUGGGCGUAAAGAGUACGUAGGCGGUUAUUCAAGUCAGAGGUGAAAGCCCGGGGCUCAACCCCGGAACUGCCUUUGAAACUAGAUAACUAGAGUCUUGGAGAGGUUAGUGGAAUUCCGAGUGUAGAGGUGAAAUUCGUAGAUAUUCGGAAGAACACCAGUGGCGAAGGCGACUAACUGGACAAGUACUGACGCUGAGGUACGAAAGCGUGGGGAGCAAACAGGAUUAGAUACCCUGGUAGUCCACGCCGUAAACGAUGAUAACUAGUUGUUCGGUCACUUGGUGACUGAGUGACGCAGCUAACGCAUUAAGUUAUCCGCCUGGGGAGUACGGUCGCAAGNUUAAAACCUUAAAUNANANAGNNGNGANGCGAGACGACACGAGGAGAGG
RNAcentral lists this ribosomal RNA (587 nucleotides) under uncultured bacterium. RNAcentral's name for it is "bacterial SSU rRNA". It matches the Rfam family "Bacterial small subunit ribosomal RNA", at positions 338 to 940 of the family's 1533-position model. The record is from RNAcentral.